RNAcentral lists this ribosomal RNA (2854 nucleotides) under Shigella flexneri. RNAcentral describes it as "partial 23S ribosomal RNA". It matches the Rfam family "Bacterial large subunit ribosomal RNA". The record is from RNAcentral. Lineage: Bacteria; Pseudomonadati; Pseudomonadota; Gammaproteobacteria; Enterobacterales; Enterobacteriaceae.
AAUCUGCGAUAAGCGUCGGUAAGGUGAUAUGAACCGUUAUAACCGGCGAUUUCCGAAUGGGGAAACCCAGUGUGAUUCGUCACACUAUCAUUAACUGAAUCCAUAGGUUAAUGAGGCGAACCGGGGGAACUGAAACAUCUAAGUACCCCGAGGAAAAGAAAUCAACCGAGAUUCCCCCAGUAGCGGCGAGCGAACGGGGAGCAGCCCAGAGCCUGAAUCAGUGUGUGUGUUAGUGGAAGCGUCUGGAAAGGCGUGCGAUACAGGGUGACAGCCCCGUACACAAAAAUGCACAUACUGUGAGCUCGAUGAGUAGGGCGGGACACGUGGUAUCCUGUCUGAAUAUGGGGGGACCAUCCUCCAAGGCUAAAUACUCCUGACUGACCGAUAGUGAACCAGUACCGUGAGGGAAAGGCGAAAAGAACCCCGGCGAGGGGAGUGAAAAAGAACCUGAAACCGUGUACGUACAAGCAGUGGGAGCACGCUUAGGCGUGUGACUGCGUACCUUUUGUAUAAUGGGUCAGCGACUUAUAUUCUGUAGCAAGGUUAACCGAAUAGGGGAGCCGAAGGGAAACCGAGUCUUAACUGGGCGUUAAGUUGCAGGGUAUAGACCCGAAACCCGGUGAUCUAGCCAUGGGCAGGUUGAAGGUUGGGUAACACUAACUGGAGGACCGAACCGACUAAUGUUGAAAAAUUAGCGGAUGACUUGUGGCUGGGGGUGAAAGGCCAAUCAAACCGGGAGAUAGCUGGUUCUCCCCGAAAGCUAUUUAGGUAGCGCCUCGUGAAUUCAUCUCCGGGGGUAGAGCACUGUUUCGGCAAGGGGGUCAUCCCGACUUACCAACCCGAUGCAAACUGCGAAUACCGGAGAAUGUUAUCACGGGAGACACACGGCGGGUGCUAACGUCCGUCGUGAAGAGGGAAACAACCCAGACCGCCAGCUAAGGUCCCAAAGUCAUGGUUAAGUGGGAAACGAUGUGGGAAGGCCCAGACAGCCAGGAUGUUGGCUUAGAAGCAGCCAUCAUUUAAAGAAAGCGUAAUAGCUCACUGGUCGAGUCGGCCUGCGCGGAAGAUGUAACGGGGCUAAACCAUGCACCGAAGCUGCGGCAGCGACGCUUAUGCGUUGUUGGGUAGGGGAGCGUUCUGUAAGCCUGUGAAGGUGUGCUGUGAGGUAUGCUGGAGGUAUCAGAAGUGCGAAUGCUGACAUAAGUAACGAUAAAGCGGGUGAAAAGCCCGCUCGCCGGAAGACCAAGGGUUCCUGUCCAACGUUAAUCGGGGCAGGGUGAGUCGACCCCUAAGGCGAGGCCGAAAGGCGUAGUCGAUGGGAAACAGGUUAAUAUUCCUGUACUUGGUGUUACUGCGAAGGGGGGACGGAGAAGGCUAUGUUGGCCGGGCGACGGUUGUCCCGGUUUAAGCGUGUAGGCUGGUUUUCCAGGCAAAUCCGGAAAAUCAAGGCCGAGGCGUGAUGACGAGGCACUACGGUGCUGAAGCAACAAAUGCCCUGCUUCCAGGAAAAGCCUCUAAGCAUCAGGUAACAUCAAAUCGUACCCCAAACCGACACAGGUGGUCAGGUAGAGAAUACCAAGGCGCUUGAGAGAACUCGGGUGAAGGAACUAGGCAAAAUGGUGCCGUAACUUCGGGAGAAGGCACGCUGAUACGUAGGUGAAGCGACUUGCUCGUGGAGCUGAAAUCAGUCGAAGAUACCAGCUGGCUGCAACUGUUUAUUAAAAACACAGCACUGUGCAAACACGAAAGUGGACGUAUACGGUGUGACGCCUGCCCGGUGCCGGAAGGUUAAUUGAUGGGGUUAGCGCAAGCGAAGCUCUUGAUCGAAGCCCCGGUAAACGGCGGCCGUAACUAUAACGGUCCUAAGGUAGCGAAAUUCCUUGUCGGGUAAGUUCCGACCUGCACGAAUGGCGUAAUGAUGGCCAGGCUGUCUCCACCCGAGACUCAGUGAAAUUGAACUCGCUGUGAAGAUGCAGUGUACCCGCGGCAAGACGGAAAGACCCCGUGAACCUUUACUAUAGCUUGACACUGAACAUUGAGCCUUGAUGUGUAGGAUAGGUGGGAGGCUUUGAAGUGUGGACGCCAGUCUGCAUGGAGCCGACCUUGAAAUACCACCCUUUAAUGUUUGAUGUUCUAACGUGGACCCGUGAUCCGGGUUGCGGACAGUGUCUGGUGGGUAGUUUGACUGGGGCGGUCUCCUCCUAAAGAGUAACGGAGGAGCACGAAGGUUGGCUAAUCCUGGUCGGACAUCAGGAGGUUAGUGCAAUGGCAUAAGCCAGCUUGACUGCGAGCGUGACGGCGCGAGCAGGUGCGAAAGCAGGUCAUAGUGAUCCGGUGGUUCUGAAUGGAAGGGCCAUCGCUCAACGGAUAAAAGGUACUCCGGGGAUAACAGGCUGAUACCGCCCAAGAGUUCAUAUCGACGGCGGUGUUUGGCACCUCGAUGUCGGCUCAUCACAUCCUGGGGCUGAAGUAGGUCCCAAGGGUAUGGCUGUUCGCCAUUUAAAGUGGUACGCGAGCUGGGUUUAGAACGUCGUGAGACAGUUCGGUCCCUAUCUGCCGUGGGCGCUGGAGAACUGAGGGGGGCUGCUCCUAGUACGAGAGGACCGGAGUGGACGCAUCACUGGUGUUCGGGUUGUCAUGCCAAUGGCACUGCCCGGUAGCUAAAUGCGGAAGAGAUAAGUGCUGAAAGCAUCUAAGCACGAAACUUGCCCCGAGAUGAGUUCUCCCUGACCCUUUAAGGGUCCUGAAGGAACGUUGAAGACGACGACGUUGAUAGGCCGGGUGUGUAAGCGCAGCGAUGCGUUGAGCUAACCGGUACUAAUGAACCGUGAGGCUUAACCUUACAACGCCGAAG